UUAGUUUUAUAAUUUAAAACUGGAAUGAAAGAAUUAACUAGAAGAUAAAUAUUUAUGUUAAAAAGAUCAAAUUUUACUUUUUAUUAAAAAGGAUAAAAUAAAUUUUAUAGACAAGAAGACCCUGUAAAAUUUUACAUAUUCUAGACAUAAAAAUCAUAGUUUAUGUUUUGCUGGGGCGGCAAGAAAGAAGACGUUUUUAAUUUUAAUAGAAUUAUUUAAAUAACUGAAAUUUUCAAAAUUAGAAUAAAUUACUUCAGGGAUAACAGCGUUAUUUAUUUAGAAAGUUCUUAUUGACAAAUAAGUUUGCGACCUCGAUGUUGAAUUAAGUAACCUUCCUUGUGAAAAGAUGAU
RNAcentral lists this ribosomal RNA (351 nucleotides) under Reddyanus basilicus. RNAcentral describes it as "partial large subunit ribosomal RNA". Lineage: Eukaryota; Metazoa; Arthropoda; Arachnida; Scorpiones; Buthidae. The record is from RNAcentral.